This is a long non-coding RNA of Neltuma alba, 145 nucleotides long. RefSeq lists it as uncharacterized. Lineage: Eukaryota; Viridiplantae; Streptophyta; Magnoliopsida; Fabales; Fabaceae. The transcript has 3 exons. The record is from RefSeq and is a predicted model, not a curated record.
UUUAACAUGAUUUGAAGGAACAUGUUAAGGAGAUAUAUACCCUUCGGUGGAGUCCUACUGGCCCCGCUACAUGCAAUCCCAAUCAGCCAUUAGUUCUAGCAAGUGCCUCUUUUGACUCUACGAUAAAGUUGUGGGAUGUGGAUCU